This 253-nucleotide ribosomal RNA is filed under the name uncultured bacterium. RNAcentral's name for it is "partial 16S ribosomal RNA". It matches the Rfam family "Bacterial small subunit ribosomal RNA", at positions 524 to 776 of the family's 1533-position model. The record is from RNAcentral.
UACGUAGGUGGCAAGCGUUGUCCGGAAUUACUGGGUGUAAAGCGCGUGUAGGCGGCAGACCAAGUCGGCGGUGAAAGCGCCCGGCUCAACUGGGCGAGGUCCGUGGAAACUGGUCAGCUGGAGGACGGUAGAGGCGAGUGGAAUUCCCGGUGUAGUGGUGAAAUGCGUAGAGAUCGGGAGGAACACCUGUGGCGAAGGCGGCUCGCUGGGCCGGUCCUGACGCUGAGACGCGAAGGCGUGGGGAGCGAACAGG